UCCCUGGUGGCUCAGAGGUUAAAGUGCCUGCCUGGAAUGCAGGAAACCCGGGUUCAAUCCCCGGGUCAGGAAG
RNAcentral lists this transfer RNA (73 nucleotides) under Ovis aries (sheep). Its description in RNAcentral is "tRNA-Ser (GGA) (tRNA-Ser-GGA-17-1)". It matches the Rfam family "tRNA". From Rfam's summary of the family: Transfer RNA (tRNA) molecules are approximately 80 nucleotides in length. Their secondary structure includes four short double-helical elements and three loops (D, anti-codon, and T loops). Further hydrogen bonds mediate the characteristic L-shaped molecular structure. tRNAs have two regions of fundamental functional importance: the anti-codon, which is responsible for specific mRNA codon recognition, and the 3' end, to which the tRNAs corresponding amino acid is attached (by aminoacyl-tRNA synthetases). tRNAs cope with the degeneracy of the genetic code in two manners: having more than one tRNA (with a specific anti-codon) for a particular amino acid; and 'wobble' base-pairing, i.e. permitting non-standard base-pairing at the 3rd anti-codon position. The record is from RNAcentral. Lineage: Eukaryota; Metazoa; Chordata; Mammalia; Artiodactyla; Bovidae.